RNAcentral lists this ribosomal RNA (380 nucleotides) under uncultured beta proteobacterium. Its description in RNAcentral is "bacterial SSU rRNA". It matches the Rfam family "Bacterial small subunit ribosomal RNA", at positions 308 to 680 of the family's 1533-position model. Lineage: Bacteria; Pseudomonadati; Pseudomonadota; Betaproteobacteria. The record is from RNAcentral.
CCGCACUGGAACUGAGACACGGUCCAGACUCCUACGGGAGGCAGCAGUGGGGAAUUUUGGACAAUGGGCGAAAGCCUGAUCCAGCCAUUCCGCGUGCAGGAUGAAGGCCCUCGGGUUGUAAACUGCUUUUGUACAGAACGAAAAGGUUUCUAUUAAUACUAGGAGCUCAUGACGGUACUGUAAGAAUAAGCACCGGCUAACUACGUGCCAGCAGCCGCGGUAAUACGUAGGGUGCAAGCGUUAAUCGGAAUUACUGGGCGUAAAGCGUGCGCAGGCGGUUAUAUAAGUCAGAUGUGAAAUCCCCGGGCUCAACCUGGGAACUGCAUUUGAGACUGUAUAGCUAGAGUACGGUAGAGGGGGAUGGAAUUCCGCGUGUAGCA